UAGGGAAUCUUCCGCAAUGGACGAAAGUCUGACGGAGCAACGCCGCGUGAGUGAAGAAGGAUUUCGGUUCGUAAAACUCUGUUGUUAGGGAAGAAAAAAUGUAUAGUAACUAUAUACAAAAGAGACGGUACCUAACCAGAAAGCCACGGCUAACUACGUGCCAGCAGCCGCGGUAAUACGUAGGUGGCAAGCGUUGUCCGGAAUUAUUGGGCGUAAAGCGCGCGCAGGUGGUUUAGAAAGUCUGAUGUGAAAGCCCACGGCUCAACCGUUGAGGGUCAUUGGAAACUAAUAAACUUGAGUGCAGGAGAGAAAAGUGGAAUUCCUAGUGUAGCGGUGAAAUGCGUAGAGAUUAGGAGGAACACCGGUGGCGAAAGCGGCUUUUUGGCCUACAACUGACACUGAGGCGCGAAAGCGUGGGGAGCAAACAGG
This 429-nucleotide ribosomal RNA is filed under the name Verrucomicrobiota bacterium. RNAcentral's name for it is "Verrucomicrobia bacterium partial 16S ribosomal RNA". It matches the Rfam family "Bacterial small subunit ribosomal RNA", at positions 355 to 776 of the family's 1533-position model. Lineage: Bacteria; Pseudomonadati; Verrucomicrobiota. The record is from RNAcentral.